UUAGAACGCACACGGAUUUUAACAAUUAUCCGUUUGAGAGAAGUGGAAGUAGAGGUCAAUGGGAAGAUGUUUGGAGAGCAUAUAAGAGUACCCAGUCCAGAGAAUCAGAUAGAAAUAGAGCAAACUGGUAGUUUUCAUGAAGUAACAAUACUUGAGAUUCAUACAAUUCGAUGCACCUCGUGUUCAGCAUUCUGGUUACGUGUGUGUUUGCUGUCACCUCAGUACAUGGGAUACAUGAUUUCAGAACUUAAAAAGAACAGGCAUGAAAUUUGUGGAUGAAGUAUUCAACAUACUGACACCUCGGCCUUCGAUAUUUGGG
This 319-nucleotide unclassified non-coding RNA is filed under the name Hevea brasiliensis (rubber tree). Lineage: Eukaryota; Viridiplantae; Streptophyta; Magnoliopsida; Malpighiales; Euphorbiaceae. The record is from RNAcentral.